Molecule: ribosomal RNA, 371 nt
Filed under: uncultured organism
Description: bacterial SSU rRNA
Rfam family: Bacterial small subunit ribosomal RNA
Source: RNAcentral
CGAGAACCCCAAGCGUUAUCCGGAAUCAUUGGGCGUAAAGGGUGUGUAGGCGGUUCGGUUAGUCUUCUGUUAAAACCUCGGGCUUAACCCGAGGCUUGCAGUGGAAACGGCCGGACUAGAGAGUGCGAGAGGUGAAUGGAACUCAUGGAGUAGGGGUGAAAUCCGUUGAUAUCAUGGGGAACACCGAAAGCGAAGGCAAUUCACUGGCGCAUUUCUGACGCUGAGACACGAAAGCGUGGGUAGCGAACGGGAUUAGAUACCCCGGUAGUCCACGCCCUAAACGAUGAUAACUGGCUUUGGGAGGAAUCGACCCUUCCGAGGCGAAGCAAACGCGUUAAGUUAUCCGCCUGGGUAGUACGGCCGCAAGGCUA